Molecule: ribosomal RNA, 433 nt
Filed under: Micarea stellaris
Lineage: Eukaryota; Fungi; Ascomycota; Lecanoromycetes; Lecanorales; Micareaceae
Description: Micarea sp. AK-2020c partial small subunit ribosomal RNA
Rfam family: Bacterial small subunit ribosomal RNA
Source: RNAcentral
UCUUUAAUGGGUUUAAAGGGUACCUAGACNGUAUGUUAAGCCUNAGAAGGGACUNACAUACUAGAGUUACUUAUGAAGAAGCUUUAAAGUACUAGAGGAGUANAGAUGAAAUUCNAUAAUACCUUUUUUUUGAAAAAAAAAACUUCGGCACAGAUAUAGGUGAAAACAUCUUCUUAUGAGAUAACUGACGUUGAGGGACGAAGGCUUUUAGUCGUGAACAGGAUUAGAGACCCUGGUAAUGAAAGCAGAAAACGCUGAGUGUCAUAGAUUAGAUAAAAAUUUAUUCUAUAAAUGAAAGUGUAAGCACUCCACCUCAAGAGUAAUUUGGCAACAUUGGAACUGAAAUCAUUAGACCGUAUUUGAAACCAGUAGUGAUGUAUGUUGUUUAAUUUGAUAAUCCGCAAAGAACCUUACCACAACUUGAAUGUCUAUA